UCCGUAGGUGAACCUGCGGAAGGAUCAUUACCGAGUGCGGGCCCUCUGGGUCCAACCUCCCAUCCGUGUCUAUCUGUACCCUGUUGCUUCGGCGUGGCCACGGCCCGCCGGAGACUAACAUUUGAACGCUGUCUGAAGUUUGCAGUCUGAGUUUUUAGUUAAACAAUCGUUAAAACUUUCAACAACGGAUCUCUUGGUUCCGGCAUCGAUGAAGAACGCAGCGAAAUGCGAUAAUUAAUGUGAAUUGCAGAAUUCAGUGAAUCAUCGAGUCUUUGAACGCACAUUGCGCCCCCUGGUAUUCCGGGGGGCAUGCCUGUCCGAGCGUCAUUGCUGCCCUCAAGCACGGCUUGUGUGUUGGGCUUCCGUCCCUGGCAACGGGGACGGGCCCAAAAGGCAGUGGCGGCACCAUGUCUGGUCCUCGAGCGUAUGGGGCUUUGUCACCCGCUCCCGUAGGUCCAGCUGGCAGCUAGCCUCGCAACCAAUCUUUUUAACCAGGUUGACCUCGGAUCAGGUAGGGAUACCCGCUGAACUUAAGCAUAUCAAUAAGCGGAGGAA
Molecule: ribosomal RNA, 555 nt
Filed under: Aspergillus amstelodami
Lineage: Eukaryota; Fungi; Ascomycota; Eurotiomycetes; Eurotiales; Aspergillaceae
Description: eukaryotic LSU rRNA
Rfam family: 5.8S ribosomal RNA (bases 174-327)
Source: RNAcentral